This 1236-nucleotide long non-coding RNA is filed under the name Pan paniscus (pygmy chimpanzee). RNAcentral's name for it is "lncRNA (ENSPPAG00000045050.1)". The record is from RNAcentral. Lineage: Eukaryota; Metazoa; Chordata; Mammalia; Primates; Hominidae.
AUCUUUUUUUUUCCUGUUAAAAAUAGAUAUAGAAGAUCACCACCCACUUUUCUCUUCCUCUUGCUUUAGAUGUAGAUGUGAUGUCUGGAACUCAUGCAGCUAUCUUGCAACGACCAGGAUGAGGCUAAGAGAAUAGGAGAGAUCCUUGCUCAAACAGGCUGAACUCGAGUAUUUCGGGCACUAAGAAGGAAGGACAAAGAUCCCUGGAGAACUCUCCUGUGGUGUCCUUGUUUUGAGUAGCAAUGGAGAUUCAUCUCAGCCAUCCCCUCAGGAAUACAGCUGUGUCAUCACAUCCCGUGGCAUCCUAAUAUGUCAUACUAAGCUGUAAACCAAUUAGGAAUGACUACUGACUGUGCUGACUCAUGGGAAGAGAAGGGGAUUAUGUGUCCUUCAGGACUUACCUGUGCUGCUCCAGAAGCUGGGAUUGCCACAGAACAGAGACUGCAUAAGCUAAACUCUUCUAGGAACCAAAGCAGAAGCUCAUCAAGAGAGUUACCCCAUUUUUCAGACGUGGAUUGUUGUCUGAGAGUGUUUAGGAGGUAAAACAAGUGCAAGUUGCCUCACAAGGUCAAUUGAUAGUUAUAGCUGGUGGCAGAGAAUCAGAUAAUGUUGCUUUUCCUUUGAAUUGUACUUUUCUUCCAACUGUCCCGCAUGGUUCACAAUCUACAGUUGUGGGGUGAUCUCAUUUGUAAUUCCAAUACAUGAUGAAGUUUGUAUUGUUAUCUGCUGAUCCACAGAAAAAGCAAAUUAACUGAAGGCCUAAUAAAAGGUAACUUGGCUGGGUGUGGUGGCUCAUCCCUAUAAUCCCAGCACUUUGGGAGGCCAAGGUGGGAGGAUUGCUUGAGUCCAGGAGUUUGAGACCAGCCUGGGCAACCUAGGGAGAUUCUGUCUCUACAAAAAUUAAAAAAAAAAAGAAGCCAGGCAUGGUGUCAUGUACCUGUGGUCCCAGCUACUCGAGAGGUGGGAGCAUUGCUUGAGCCCAGGAGGUCGAGGCUACAGUGAGCUAUGAUUGUACGACUGAACUCCAGCCUGGGCAACAGAGUAAGACCCUGUUUCAAAAAAAAAAAAAGAAAAAAGGCAAUUCAAGCUACACAUAGUGGCUCCCUUCCAAAGAAUAUGUUAUGAAAAGAGGGAAAAAAUGAGAGUGGGGAAACCUGAAAACUCUGCCUCAAGGCCAACAUCCAUGGUGAUAAGCCAUGCUGGUAGUGCGUACCCUUGAUAUGAUGUCAUGAGAAU